This 251-nucleotide ribosomal RNA is filed under the name uncultured prokaryote. Its description in RNAcentral is "partial 16S rRNA". It matches the Rfam family "Bacterial small subunit ribosomal RNA", at positions 525 to 775 of the family's 1533-position model. The record is from RNAcentral.
ACGUAGGGGGCGAGCGUUAUCCGGAAUUACUGGGCGUAAAGGGUGCGUAGGCGGCCCUUUAAGUCGGGUGUGAAAGUCCAGGGCUCAACGCUGGGGGUGCAUGUGAUACUGAAGGGCUUGAGUGCAGGAGAGGUGAGCGGAAUUCCCGGUGUAGUGGUGAAAUGCGUAGAGAUCGGGAGGAACACCAGUGGCGAAGGCGGCUUACUAGACUGUAACUGACGCUGAGGUACGAAAGCGUGGGGAGCAAACAG